Molecule: transfer RNA, 66 nt
Filed under: Camelus bactrianus (Bactrian camel)
Lineage: Eukaryota; Metazoa; Chordata; Mammalia; Artiodactyla; Camelidae
Also listed under: 2 other names
Rfam family: tRNA
About the family: Transfer RNA (tRNA) molecules are approximately 80 nucleotides in length.
Source: Rfam by way of RNAcentral
GGAGGUAUAGCUCAGUGGUAGAGUGCAUGCUCAGUGUGCACAAGGGUUCAAUUCCCAGUGCCUCUC